UGCCAAGAGAUGAGUUCUCCCAAUCUAAGAGAUUGUAAGGGUUGUUGUAGACUACGACGUAGAUAGGUCUGGUGUGUAAGUGUAGUGAUAUAUUGAGCUAACAGAUACUAAUUGCCCGAGAGGCUUAACUAUACAACGCUCAAG
RNAcentral lists this ribosomal RNA (144 nucleotides) under Haemophilus influenzae. RNAcentral describes it as "partial 23S ribosomal RNA". It matches the Rfam family "Bacterial large subunit ribosomal RNA", at positions 2795 to 2925 of the family's 2925-position model. Lineage: Bacteria; Pseudomonadati; Pseudomonadota; Gammaproteobacteria; Pasteurellales; Pasteurellaceae. The record is from RNAcentral.